Molecule: non-coding RNA, 72 nt
Organism: Phrynosoma platyrhinos (Desert horned lizard)
Lineage: Eukaryota; Metazoa; Chordata; Lepidosauria; Squamata; Phrynosomatidae
Source: the annotation of a GenBank genome assembly
GUGAGUGUGGUAUAGUGAUUCAAUCAUUAGACUACAACUCUGAAGAACAGGGUUCAAAUCCCUGCUCAGCCA